CAAAUCGAAAUAUGAUACUGGGCUAAGGGUCAAGUUGGUAAUUUUUCUUACACCUCCCCCUCCUCGAGCCCAAGUAUCACAUACACCCCCAAAAUAAAGAGCCUAGACAG
This 110-nucleotide small RNA is filed under the name Olea europaea subsp. europaea. It matches the Rfam family "Antisense RNA which regulates isiA expression". The record is from RNAcentral. Lineage: Eukaryota; Viridiplantae; Streptophyta; Magnoliopsida; Lamiales; Oleaceae.